Macaca fascicularis (crab-eating macaque) is the source of this 1894-nucleotide long non-coding RNA. Lineage: Eukaryota; Metazoa; Chordata; Mammalia; Primates; Cercopithecidae. The record is from Ensembl.
CAACAAGGAGAAGCAAAGAAAGAUGGAUGUCAUAGCAGAAGGUCCUGGUGAACCUACCUUUCAUUCACUCACUCAUUUAAGAAAUAUUUAUUGAGCUUCCAUUGUAUAUCAAGCCUUAUUCUGCAUAUUGGGAAAACAGCAAUAGGAGAAACAAAAAGCAAACACACAAAGCAGGGAAAAUUCCUUGCAUUAACUGAACUUACACUCAAUCUACAAAGACAGAGAUUAACAAUAUAUAAAGUACAUGGAAUGGUAAAUGUUGUAGAGAAAUGCAACACAAUGAAGGGGGUGCGGAGCAUAAGAGGUAGGAGAGAGGGUGUAUCUUAGUCCACUUGUGCUGCUAUAACCAAAUACCAUAGACUGGGUAAUUCAUAAAUAAAAGAAAUUUAUUUCUCGCAGUUCUGAAGACUGUGAAGUCCAAGAUCGAGGUACCAGCAUUGGAUGUCUGGUAAGGGCUGCUCUCUGUGCUUCAAAGAUGGUACCUUGUUGCUGCAUUCUCUGGAGGGGACAAACUCUGUGUCCUCACAUGGAAGAAGGUAGGACAAAAGGGACUAAGCUAGUUCUCUCCAGCCCUGUUAAAAGGCACUAGUUCAUUCAUGAGAGUGAAGCUCUCAUGACUUUAUCACUCCCCAAAAGCCCCCAUUUCUUAAUACCACCACAAUGGGGUUUAGGUUUCAACACAUGAAUUUUGGAGGGGACACUUUCAAUUCACAGCCAGGUGUUACUGUAAAAUAGAAUGAUCAGGGAAGACUUUACCAAUAAAGUGAAGUUUAGUCAGGGAAUUCUUCAAGAUUUAGAGUAAUUAAAAUAGGUCCAGGGUGACCCACUGGAGAAGCAGAGGCUGAAAGUGAUGAAAUGAAAGUACAAAUUGCCUCUAUCUUUUUAUUUAAUAAUAGUGGAGUACCUCCUCUGCUACUCAGUACUCAUGUUAAGUAUUUCCUACAUAUGCUAGAAUAAAGUUCCAAACCCUUGGCCCAGUGAGCAAGGAAGCAAGUUCAGAUAAUGAGACAAGUGGUAUGCAAGGAAUGAAUGUCAAGUCAAUUUUCUUAGAAGAGUAGAAGGUGUUGACCUCAUGGUCCAAGAUUUAGGUCUUCAUACAAUCCUCCACUUACUAAUUUACCUUCAAACAUGUUUGCUGUGUACCUACCUCAGGUUAUUUAAGUUUUGGAAACUCAAGUCUGUCUCUUAGAAUGUAGGAAAUAAGAAAACCAAGGAAAAGUGAACCAUUAUCAAGGCAUUUAACUGUAGUACCCGCAGCUCUCCCCUUGAUGAGUUGCCAACACUCUCAGUUGUCUCACUGUUCUGGAGGGGCAAUCCCAGACAGGAUGCCUCCAGCUAGUGUUCGUUCACCCACCAUUACACAAUCCUUGGCUCCUCUAGCCUCUUGCCACAACACAGCUUCAAGACCAUUCUAUUCAGGGGGUUGACUGCCUUGAGUUUAUGAUCCUAUCUCCAUAAAGAAAUCAGAAAAAUUUGGCCCAUAAUCCUCCUACCAGACCCUUCUGAUGCCUUGCCCACAUCCUCCAAGCACACACUUCUGUUCAUAAAAGGCUGUUGUCAGUGAAGAAUCAUGUAAUUCUCUGCCUUGAGGAAGCGAUAGCCAGAACACUGAAGUUUUAAUGGCCUUGCAAGCAGUCAUCAAAAAUGGAUGAGGAUGGAUGAGUGGAUACCCCAGCUUCUUUGACCCUAGGUUGGGAUAACUCCAAGGUGUGUGUUCUGCAUUGUCUCCCAGAGUUCCCCAGCUGAAUCAAUGUCUAAUUGCUCAUGUGAUAACUCACCUGAUAAUUAUCAAUCGCUUUACCGGCUAUCUGCUUUUCUCUGUCUCUUUUCCACCUUUCCUACCUUUUUUUUUUUUUCUGGAAUCUCUUCUCAAAUAAACUACUUGCCCAAAAAA